UUUGACUGCUUGGAGGAUAGAAGAGUUAGUGGCGGACGGGUGAGUAACGCGUGAAGAUCUGCCCAUUGGUGGGGGACAACAGUUGGAAACGGCUGCUAAUACCCCAUAAGCCGGGAGGUAAAAGGAGCAAUCCACCGGUGGAGGAUCUCGCGUCCUAUCAGCUAGUUGGUGAGGUAAUGGCUUACCAAGGCGAUGACGGGUAACUGGUCUGAGAGGGCGACCAGUCACACUGGAACUGAGACACGGUCCAGACUCCUACGGGAGGCAGCAGUGGGGAAUAUUGGGCAAUGGGGGCAACCCUGACCCAGCGACGCCGCGUGAGGGAAGAAGUCUUUCGGGACGUAAAACCUCUGUUGUACGGGAAGAAGGAAGUGACGGUACCGUACGAGGAAGCCCCGGCAAACUACGUGCCAGCAGCCGCGGUAAUACGUAGGGGGCGAGCGUUGUCCGGAAUUUCUGGGCGUAAAGAGCACGUAGGCGGAUCGUUAAGUCUACUGUGAAAGUCCCGGGCUCAACCUGGGAAAUUGCAGUGGAUACUGGCGGACUAGAGUACUGGAGAGGGAAGUGGAAUUCCCGGUGUAGCGGUGAAAUGCGCAGAUAUCGGGAGGAACACCAGUGGCGAAGGCGGCUUCCUGGCCAGUAACUGACGCUGAGGUGCG
This 659-nucleotide ribosomal RNA is filed under the name uncultured organism. RNAcentral describes it as "bacterial SSU rRNA". It matches the Rfam family "Bacterial small subunit ribosomal RNA", at positions 67 to 755 of the family's 1533-position model. The record is from RNAcentral.